Carcharodon carcharias (great white shark) is the source of this 811-nucleotide long non-coding RNA. RefSeq lists it as uncharacterized. The transcript has 3 exons. The record is from RefSeq and is a predicted model, not a curated record. NCBI's taxonomy places the organism in Eukaryota, Metazoa, Chordata, Chondrichthyes, Lamniformes, Lamnidae.
AAUGCCCUUCUGCUGUGCAGAGUUUGCACUGUGUAACAUUUGUAUCCAAGUUCUUUGUCAAUAGGGUUCAUCAUUGGAGUUGAAAAGUAUAUCAACAUGUCCAAACCCAAGCUACAUUAUUUUAAUGGAAGAGGGAAAGUGGAGUCUAUUUGCUGGCUUUUGGCAGCUGCCAGCAUUGAGUGGCUCUUCCUUAACUCCUGUCAGCUUUCUCCCCAGUGCCUGGUGGAGAGCAAAAAUUAAUUCACUGGAAAAUUGUGCUGAGGAACUCUUGUCUCACAGAAUCAACAUGCUAUACCUCUGAGUUGCCUACGGUACUCUUAAAUCCAUCAGGAAGACCAAGUCACAAAUUGGAUUUCAGAGUUAGGAGGAAGUCACUUUAACCACUGGCUAUUGUCACAAGGGAAUCACUGAACUCUGGUGAAAUUGUGUAGGGUUACAAUUGGACAAACCUAUUACUACUUUUUAAAGGGGCAACAAUUCUGAUCUAGGCAACAAAAGGCCCUAUGGCCUAACUCCAAUAACAGAUAAAAUAAUGGUAAUUAUUGAAGGAUUCCCUGGAGGAGCACUCUAUAACAAUGAUGAAGAAACGACCAGCAGGAAUUUCAAACAGCAAACCUCUUCAACUUCUUUGAGAGAACUACAGAUACAAUAGACGUCAGGAAUCCUGAUAAUAUCACUUGUUUGAAAUUCCAAAAACAUUUUGGAUGUGUUCCAUGUGGGAAGCUUUUCAAUAAGCUAAAAGCCAUGGAUAUCCAGCAUGGAGCAUGGAUUGGAUAAGAAGUUUGUCAAAAAUAAGAAAGAAGCAGUUCAU